CUGCCCCUGAUUGAUGCCCGGGGAAAUGAUGGAGUUUUCCCAAAAAUACUUCUAGCAUGUUUGCAUCAUAGAGUACAGACUGCUGAGUAUUUUGUCUUUUACUCCGAUAGUUACUUGCAGACAAAGAAGGAGGAUUGUGAUAGCCGAAGGCCACAGUGAGAGAGCUGUGAUCCCAGCACUUAGAUCCUGCACUAGGGCUCUGAACCCAAGGCUUUCUCCAAGACCUCAUGACUACAGCAUACAAAGAGGUUGAUGGAGUAAAUUUAUUGCCAGGAAACUAGCAUUUUACUUUGAAAGGUGUUAGAUGCUAAUAAGAUAUUACAUGAGCAAGUUCUUGGUAAAAAUUUCACUUGCAGCUCCAGCAAUGAAUUUUAUAGUCCCUUUGUUGAGGUCAGAUGCAUGUGAAUCUUGGUAGAGAACAAUCUUUUUGUUGACUUGUGUCUUAGGCUGUUCACACUGCUGUAACAAAAAUACCACAAAAUGGGUGGCUUAUAAACAUUGAACAUUUAUUUCUCACAGGUGCAUGGACUGAGAAGUCCAAGAUCAUGGCACCGGCAGGUUGAGUGUCUGGUGAGGGCCUGCUUCCUAGUUUGUAGAUGCCAUUUUGCUAUAACCUCAUGUGGCAGGCAAGAGCUUUCUCUGGCCUCUUUUAUAAGGGCAUUUAUCCCAUUCAUGAGGGCUCCACUUACAUGAUCUGAGAGGUCCCAAGUCAGAGGUGAUCUGGCCCCACCUCCUAGGACCAUCACAUUGGGGGAUAGGUUUUAACAUUAAUUUUGGGGGCAUACAAACAGUCUCUAAAAACUUGAGAUUUUUUGAUUUAGGCGUUUCUAAAUUAAAGGACUGGAACAUCAUUUAUGAUUUUCUGAUGUGUGUUUACUUUUAUUCUUACAAAAAUUUACUGGCCACAAUAACUGCCUGUAGAGUAAGUAGGGCAUAGAUGCUAGAAGGGUGCUUAUGCCUUUCUUUGCUGCAGACCCCAGAAGUGGGGAUGGCUUAGCCGAGGUUCCUUACCCUCCACAGCAAAUGGGUCCAGAGGUCUAAAGGAUAAAAUAAUGUGUUGGGACUGAAAUUUAUCUUUGAAAAAGCAAACAGAAAAGACCUUUUCAUUGUAUUUUUGUUCUAAUUCUGAAAGAAAUUUAAGUUCAUUGUAGACAAUAUGGAGAGUACAGUUUAAAAAGAAGCUAACCUUCCAGAAUCCCCGAACAAGAAAAUACAACCAUCGGGCGCCUGCAUGGAUCAUCAGAUGGUUAUACAUCUACCUUUGGCUCAGAGAACACAAGCAGUGGGGAGUGGUGGCAGAGGGAGAGGAAAAAGCAGGCUCCCUGCUCUGCAGGGCUUGAUCCUAGAUAUCCCCGUCUCCAGGAGAAAUUGACACAAGACCUGGUGUGGAUGCUGAGAUCCUGGCCAUAAUGUCUGAUGCAAUGAUUGGAUGAGACUUUGGGGAUGCCUUUGGGAGGACACUGAGUAUAUUUUAUGGGCAGCCAGGAAGGAAAUGAGUAUUUAUGAUCCAGUGAGCAGACUGUGGUAGAUUGGAUUACUGUUUCCAAGUCUUCACAUACUUUGUCAUCUGACUUUACAGUACCUCCUCUCAGAGUGGGCGGAGUACAUUUUUCCACCAACACUGAGUGUGGGGUGUGACUGUGGUCCAUGGGUUUUGAGUGGACAGGAUAUAUGCCACUUCUGAGCAGUGGUUUUAAGAGCCCUCGCAAUAAGUCAGCCAUUGCUCUUGAUCUCUGCCACGAGUUUGAGAUGUGGUUGCUCCUUCAGCUUGGGCCCUGGAAUAGUGUAGACACAUCAACCAGUCAUGUAACAUGAGUGAGAAACAAAUAGUUAUGUUGUAAGCCACUGAGAUUUGGGGAUCAUUUGUUAUUGUAGCACAGCUUAGUGAAAGCUGACUAGUAUGUCAUGAAGGGGAAAAAAAAAAAAAAGCAAAGCAAGCUGCAGGAUAAUAUGUUUAGUUUUUAGAGGCUCAAAUAUAUUUCUUGGUGUAAAUUUCUUCAGGUUUAUCCUGUUUGGGGUUUUCCCAGCUUCAGUCAACAGGUUUGUCUUUUGCCCAUUUUGGGAAGUUUUUAGCCAUUAUUUCUUUGAGUUUCUUUUCAGCCAUACCGUCUUUCUUCCUCUCCUUCUGGAACUCCGUGACACAAUGUUAGAUCUUUUAUUAGAGUCCCAUAAGUCCCUGGGAUCUGUUCAUUUCUUUUUUCAGCCUGUUUUCUCUCUCUUACUCAGACUGAGUAAUUUCUAUUGUUCUAUCUCAAGUUCAUUGACUCUUUCUUGUGUCUUCUCCAUUCUGCUGUUGAACCCAUCCAUUGAGUUUUCAAUUUCAGCUGUUGUAUUUUUCAGUUCUAAAAUUCCCAAUUUGGGUCUUUAUAUCUUCUAUUUCUUUCCUGAGAUUUUCUGGUUCCUUGCUGAGAUUUUGUUUUCUUACCCAUUUCAAGCAUGUUUGUAAUUCCUCAUUGAAGCAAUUCCUCCUCUGUUUUCAGAUCUUUGUCAGGUAAUUCUAACCUCUCUGUCAUUGUGAUGCUAACGUUAUCUUUUUUCCUCACUUUGAGAUUUUCUUGGUUCUUAGUAUGUCUAGUGAUUUUCAGUAGAAGCCUGGACAUUUGGGAUAAUAUGUUAUGAAACUCUGGAACUUACAUAAACCUGUGUAGCUGGUCUCCUCUGAGACUGCUUGGGCAGGGGAAGAGGUGGGGCAGUGCCAGGUGGGGAUAGAAGUCCAGAUUCUCUUAUUUUGCCUUCACUGACACCCAGGGUGGGGAGGGUCUCCUCAUUACUACUGGGAAAGGGUAUAGAAUUACAGAUCCCUACUGAUACCACCUGGGCUAGGAAGGGUAUGAGGGCCUCUUUACUCUUCCCCAUGUGACCCCCACUGACAUCCAGGAGGAGUGAUGGGAAGAGUGACCUCUUUACCUUUGGGUAGUAGUGAAAGUCCAUGUCUCUCCACUUAACACACCACCCCCCACUCCUGCCCCAGCAGGGAGAGGGAGGGGACUUAUUUGCUGCCAGCAGGAGAGGAAGUUCAGGCUUCUCCACUGACAUGGGGAUGAGGUGGGUUGGGGAAGGCCCCUUGCUAUCCACCAGGGAUGGAAGUCCUUGCUGCCUGUUCAGUCUUCUCCAACAGCACCCUGGAAUGAGUUUGGGGUGCCUCCUUACAGCCUGGCAAUGUUAGAGGUCAAGUUCGCCACUGGACCUUUGCUGGCAGAUGAGGGUAGGGCUGUAUGUUUUCUGUGCUGUGUGGGUAGAGUACAGUGGCAGUUAUCUAAAAGCUGUCUUGCCAGGCUGUUCCUUUCCUAGUCUUCUCUUCAGAGAAAGCAUUGAGCAUUGACAGGCAGCCAGUUCCUUCAUCCCCAGGUCUGCCUACGUGCAUGAGGCAGAGAAACCGUCAGGAACUCAGAGCAUGCCAUUCCACAUGCCCCAAGUCCCCCAGAGAAUCUGUGGUGUUCCCUCCACCUUCAGAGUCUUCUCAUGUUUGUCUUCUAUGUAAUGUCCAGGGUUUGUAGUUGUACUUAGUAGGAGGGACAGGGAGGAGUGCAUCUAUCCGUGCUCCUGGAAGUGGAAGUCUCCUACACAAUGUAAUUUUAUUCAUGUAGCUGUUAUGUAUUAUUUACUUGAUUUAAAGAAUCCUGUGCAAUGUUACAGAUGCACAUACUUUUAAUAAAUAUAUAUAUUUAUAUAUGAA
Long non-coding RNA from Nyctereutes procyonoides (raccoon dog), 3676 nucleotides. RefSeq lists it as uncharacterized. Lineage: Eukaryota; Metazoa; Chordata; Mammalia; Carnivora; Canidae. The transcript is spliced from 3 exons. The record is from RefSeq and is a predicted model, not a curated record.